UUCGCUUUUGAGAAAGUAGUCAUGUUGGGAGUCUGGCUCUCGAGAUUCGGAGGACGGUGCCUCUUCGAUUUUGGAGCAAGCAAUCUUAUUGGGAGUGUUGUCUCGAAUGUGAGUAAAGGUUGGGCAUGUUUGCUAGUCUACCUUGCCACGAAGCACAAAGGUUGACACACAGAGACUUUCCAAUUAUCCAGCAGUGGUACUGUUCCUUUACCCUCUCUUCGCUUUUGAGAAAGUAGUCAUGUUGGGAGUCUGGCUCUCGAGAUUCGGAGGACGGUGCCUCUUCGAUUUUGGAGCAAGCAAUCUUGUUGGGAGUGUUUUCUCGAAAGUGAGUAAAGGUUGGGCAUGUUUGCUAGUCUACCUUGCCACGAAGCACAGAGGUUGACACACAGGGACUUUCCAAUUAUCCAGCAGUGGUACUGUUCCUUUACCCUUGUGGGUAAUAAUAUGGUAGCUAGACCUUCAAAAUUUAUGUGUCUAAACUUUGUUAGUGCUGUUUCUUUGCUAUUCUUUUACCUUUCUUGGUCAGAGCGAUGUGUAGUGGGAGCUGCAAGCUUCACGUGCUCAACUUUGGCAGAGAACUUUGGCAAAGUUAUCUGUGGUACCCAUGAGCUAUUGUUGCGUGUGGGAAGUGGGUGAUUGAACAGUAAGAUUCAUGUGCUUUCUACUUCACCAGAAGUCUUCGACAGAAUGCCCAUAAUUUCUGCAAAGCUGAGUGUGCGUGUGACAGGUGCUGACAAGGCUAGAAAAGUAGGUGCCUCUUCGAUUUCUGAGAUCGGCCCUCGUGGUCUCUGAGCAGCCCAGCUUUUGAGAAAGCGAGCGCCUCUUCGAUUGAUUCGGAGAACGAUGCCUCAUCGAUUUUUGAGAAAGCAAUCAUGCUGGGGGUCUGGCUCUCGAGGAUUCGGGGAGCAGUGUCUCUUCGAUUUUUGAGAAAGUAAUCACGUUGGGAGUCUGGCUCUCGAGAUUCGGAGGGCGGUGCCUCUUCGAUUUUGGAGCAAGCAAUCUUGUUGGAAGUGUUUUCUUGAAUGUGAGUAAAGGUUGGGCAUGUUCGCUAGUCUACCUUGCCACGAAGCACAGAGGUUGACACACAGGGACUUUCCAAUUAUCCAGCAAUGGUACUGUUCCUUUACCCUCUCUUCGAUUUUUAAGAAAGUAGUCAUGUUGGGAGUCUGGCUCUCGAGAUUCGGAGGACGGUGCCUCUUCGAUUUUGGAGCAAGCAAUCUUAUUGGGAGUGUUUUCUCGAAUGUGAGUAAAGGUUGGGCAUGUUUGCUAGUCUACCUUGCCACGAAGCACAGAGGUUGACACACAGGGACUUUCCAAUUAUCCAGC
RNAcentral lists this long non-coding RNA (1326 nucleotides) under Malus domestica (apple). RNAcentral describes it as "long non-coding RNA (MDOM_LNC003928)". Lineage: Eukaryota; Viridiplantae; Streptophyta; Magnoliopsida; Rosales; Rosaceae. The record is from RNAcentral.